Molecule: ribosomal RNA, 1199 nt
Filed under: uncultured Campylobacterota bacterium
Lineage: Bacteria; Pseudomonadati; Campylobacterota
Description: bacterial SSU rRNA
Rfam family: Bacterial small subunit ribosomal RNA
Source: RNAcentral
GCCCUUAAGAGGGGGAUAACAGAGGGAAACCUCUGCUAAUACCCCAUAACCCUUCUUAUCAUAAGAUAAGUUGGCAAAGUUUUUUCGCUUAAGGAUUGGCCUGUAUAGCAUCAGCUUGUUGGUGAGGUAAUGGCUCACCAAGGCUAUGACGCUUAACUGGUCUGAGAGGAUGAUCAGUCACACUGGAACUGAGACACGGUCCAGACUCCUACGGGAGGCAGCAGUGGGGAAUAUUGCACAAUGGGGGAAACCCUGAUGCAGCAACGCCGCGUGGAGGAUGACACUUUUCGGAGCGUAAACUCCUUUUCUGUUAGAAGAUAAUGACGGUAUAACAGGAAUAAGCACCGGCUAACUCCGUGCCAGCAGCCGCGGUAAUACGGAGGGUGCAAGCGUNACUCGGAAUCACUGGGCGUAAAGAGCGUGUAGGCUGUUUAGCAAGUCAGAAGUGAAAUCCUAUAGCUCAACUAUAGAACUGCUUUUGAAACUGCUUAACUAGAGUGUGGGAGAGGCAGAUGGAAUUUCUGGUGUAGGGGUAAAAUCCGUAGAUAUCAGAAGGAAUACCGAUUGCGAAGGCGAUCUGCUGGAACAUUACUGACGCUGAGACGCGAAAGCGUGGGGAGCAAACAGGAUUAGAUACCCUGGUAGUCCACGCCCUAAACGAUGUACACUAGUUGUUGUGGUGCUAGUCACUGCAGUAAUACAGUUAACACAUUAAGUGUACCGCCUGGGGAGUACGGUCGCAAGAUUAAAACUCAAAGGAAUAGACGGGGACCCGCACAAGCGGUGGAGCAUGUGGUUUAAUUCGAAGAUACGCGAAAAACCUUACCUGGCCUUGACAUUGAUAGAAUCCUGUAGAGAUACGGGAGUGCCGGCUUGCCGGAACUUGAAAACAGGUGCUGCACGGCUGUCGUCAGCUCGUGUCGUGAGAUGUUGGGUUAAGUCCCGCAACGAGCGCAACCCACGUCCUUAGUUGCCAGCAUUUCGGAUGGGAACUCUAAGGAGACUGCCUUCGCAAGGAGGAGGAAGGUGUGGACGACGUCAAGUCAUCAUGGCCCUUACGGCCAGGGCUACACACGUGCUACAAUGGGGCGUACAAAGAGCAGCAAUACCGCGAGGUGGAGCAAAUCUCAAAAACGCCUCCCAGUUCAGAUUGCACUCUGCAACUCGAGUGCAUGAAGUUGGAAUCGCUAGUAAUCGUA